GCCAGACUCCUACGGGAGGCAGCAGUGGGGAAUAUUGCACAAUGGGGGAAACCCUGAUGCAGCGACGCCGCGUGAGUGAAGAAGUAUUUCGGUAUGUAAAGCUCUAUCAGCAGGGAAGAUAAUGACGGUACCUGACUAAGAAGCCCCGGCUAACUACGUGCCAGCAGCCGCGGUAAUACGUAGGGGGCAAGCGUUAUCCGGAUUUACUGGGUGUAAAGGGUGCGCAGGUGGCAGGGCAAGUCAGAUGUGAAAGCCCGGGGCUCAACCCCGGUAUUGCAUUUGAAACUGUCCGGCUAGAGUGCAGGAGAGGUAAGCGGAAUUCCUAGUGUAGCGGUGAAAUGCGUAGAUAUUAGGAGGAACACCAGUGGCGAAGGCGGCUUACUGGACUGUAACUGACGUUGAGGCUCGAAAGCGUGGGGAGCAAACAGGAUUAGAUACCCGUGUAGU
This 447-nucleotide ribosomal RNA is filed under the name uncultured bacterium. Its description in RNAcentral is "bacterial SSU rRNA". It matches the Rfam family "Bacterial small subunit ribosomal RNA", at positions 330 to 794 of the family's 1533-position model. The record is from RNAcentral.